Molecule: long non-coding RNA, 1011 nt
Filed under: Homo sapiens (human)
Lineage: Eukaryota; Metazoa; Chordata; Mammalia; Primates; Hominidae
Description: HSALNT0172762
Source: RNAcentral
CGAAGCUCCUUAGUGAGGAGCUGCCAUGCUGGGCCAUCCACCAUCUGGAUUCCUACGACUCAGGGAAUAGAACACUGCACCUUCCAGAAGCACUUGUUUCUUCGUGGGUACACCACCAGCUGAGAAAGAAGCCUCAUGAUGAUUGUUGUCUUAUGGAUGCUUCUCAUUGCAGGAACCAUGUGGAAGGGAUAUAAAUAUCCCCCAGGAGGGACUCCAGUGGAAGUAAGCAAGGAUGAUCCUGGUGAAGUAAUGCAGCUGUGAAGCUCACCUGACCAGCUGUACAGUUCCUGUUCCACCUAAAUUAAUGAGUAAGAAUGCUCAGCAUCCAAUCCAUGAAUACAGAAUUUAUUCUACUUUGUACUUCAAAGUCACAGGAUGACAUCCAUAUGAUAGUUAUAAAUUCUACUCUACAUUUUCAAGUUCUCAAUCCAUAGAUUAGGACAAGUCACUUUAUUGCUGGCAACAUUCAUGGAAGGUCCAGGUUUCUCAUAAAAAGACUAAGUUUGAUUGGGAGCAGGGCAGUGCCCUACUCACAGAUCAGCAGAAGAAUUACAGAAAUCAAGAGACAACCUUUUUUUUCCUUUCAAAGUAGCAAAGGAACAAUAAAAGAUUGGCUGACUGGUGAGUGGCCCCACAUUAGAGUGCAUAGCUCAUCAGGAUCAAGGCUGGCAUCUGUGAACAGUUAACUUCAUAAGAGCACAAGUGGGCAUUAUAUCAUCUGCAUUACAGAUUUCACCCUGGAAAAUAUCUGAAAAUAUUUUAUGCUCAAAUGACAGCCUGCAAAUGACAGUAUGCAUUCCUUCUCCUUGAGUACCCAAGUAUAAAUCUAAAAUGAUAAGGGGGCUUCUUCAGUCUGAAGGCAGGAAAUCCUUGCAGCAGAGCAGCUCUAGAAUUUCACAAAAAUAAAAGCAGCAGCUAACGCCUCUUCAGCUUCUUGGCCCUUCGACGUUGCAUUUCUUCUUCUUCACGUCUCAUUUCCUCUAAGUCCUCUUGCAUACCCAGUCUUAAGCU